RNAcentral lists this ribosomal RNA (371 nucleotides) under uncultured organism. Its description in RNAcentral is "partial 16S ribosomal RNA". It matches the Rfam family "Bacterial small subunit ribosomal RNA", at positions 527 to 896 of the family's 1533-position model. The record is from RNAcentral.
GGAGGGUGCGAGCGUUAAUCGGAAUUACUGGGCGUAAAGGGUGCGUAGGUUGUUAGUUAAGUUAUCUGUGAAAGCCCCGGGCUUAACCUGGGAUGGUCAGAUGAAACUGAUUGACUAGAGUAUGUUAGAGGGUAGUGGAAUUUCCGGUGUAGCGGUGAAAUGCGUAGAUAUCGGAAGGAACACCAGUGGCGAAGGCGACUACCUGGAAUAAUACUGACACUGAGGCACGAAAGCGUGGGUAGCAAACAGGAUUAGAUACCCUGGUAGUCCACGCCCUAAACGAUGUCAACUAGCCCGUUGGUCAUAUAAAUAUGAUAAGUGGCGCAGCUAACGCGAUAAGUUGACCGCCUGGGGAUACGGUCGCAAGAUUA